This 516-nucleotide ribosomal RNA is filed under the name uncultured fungus. RNAcentral describes it as "eukaryotic LSU rRNA". It matches the Rfam family "Eukaryotic large subunit ribosomal RNA", at positions 40 to 647 of the family's 3401-position model. Lineage: Eukaryota; Fungi. The record is from RNAcentral.
AUAUAACUAAGCGGAGGAAAAGAAACUAACCAGGAUUUCCCUAGUAACGGCGAGUGAAGCGGAAAGAGCUCAGACCUAGAAUCUUCGGAGUUGUGGUCUGGAGAAGGCGGUGCUCGGCAGCGUGCGUCGAUAAAGUUGUCUGGAAAGACACGCCGAGGAGGGUGACAGCCCCGUUCAUAUCGAUGCCAGCGGCCGGUCAGCCCGUCUUCCACGAGUCGAGUUGUUUGGGAUUGCAGCUCUAAUUGGGUGGUAAAUUCCAUCUAAAGCUAAAUAUGGAUGGGAGACCGAUAGCGAACAAGUACCGUGAGGGAAAGAUGAAAAGAACUUUGAAAAGAGAGUGAAAUAGUACCUGAAAUUGCUGAAAAGGAACCGAUGGGCAGCAGUGGUGCGCUCGGUGGGGUUCCCACCGGGUGUGGGUCAGGCUUGCUUCUUCGCGAGGGAAAGGACCUGGAUGCAGCUUCUGCGCCAGUGCUCCGUCACGCGAAGGAGCGACUCUGGCGAAAUGCUUCUCAUCAA